ACGGGAGGCAGCAGUCGGGAAUAUUGCGCAAUGGAGGAAACUCUGACGCAGUGACGCCGCGUGCAGGAAGAAGGUUUUCGGAUUGUAAACUGCUUUAGACAGGGAAGAAACAAGACAGUACCUGUAGAAUAAGCUCCGGCUAACUACGUGCCAGCAGCCGCGGUAAUACGUAGGGAGCGAGCGUUAUCCGGAUUUAUUGGGUGUAAAGGGUGCGUAGACGGGAAAAUAAGUUAGUUGUGAAAUCCCUCGGCUCAACUGAGGAACUGCAACUAAAACUAUUUUUCUUGAGUGUUGGAGAGGAAAGCGGAAUUCCUAGUGUAGCGGUGAAAUGCGUAGAUAUUAGGAGGAACACCAGUGGCGAAGGCGGCUUUCUGGACAAUAACUGACGUUGAGGCACGAAAGUGUGGGGAGCAAACAGGAUUAGAUACCCUGGUA
This 435-nucleotide ribosomal RNA is filed under the name uncultured Oscillospiraceae bacterium. RNAcentral describes it as "partial 16S ribosomal RNA". It matches the Rfam family "Bacterial small subunit ribosomal RNA", at positions 341 to 792 of the family's 1533-position model. The record is from RNAcentral. Lineage: Bacteria; Bacillati; Bacillota; Clostridia; Eubacteriales; Oscillospiraceae.